Molecule: non-coding RNA, 73 nt
Organism: Sinocyclocheilus grahami
Lineage: Eukaryota; Metazoa; Chordata; Actinopteri; Cypriniformes; Cyprinidae
Source: the annotation of a RefSeq genome assembly
GGCCCAGUGGCCUAAUGGAGAAGGCAUCAGCCUCCAGAGCUGGGAAUUGUGGGUUCAAGUCCCACCUGGGUCA